UGGCCAGCCCAGAAAAGGGCUUCCACAGUGCAGCGGCGGGCCGAAGGGCUCCUCAAGUGCCGCCAAAGUGGGAGCCCAGGCAGAGGAGGCGCCGAGAGCGAGCAAGGGCUGUGAGGACUGCCAGCACUCUGUCACCUCUCAGUACUAGCCCUUCUUCUGCUACCUUACCCUGAGGACUUGGACAUUCCAGCGUAUCGCAGAACCGGAAUUCAGCUCCCAUUGCCCACAACAGUGCUUCCCUGCCUCAGUUUCAUAGAAAUGAUCCCUUCGUAACUCAGCAGCUCAUAUACAGUGAUAAAGUAUCAAGUCCAUCGUUUUCCCAAAUCAAGAGCAAUGCAUCCCACACAAAUGGGCAAGAAUUGCAGCUGACAGAGUGUUCCUGAGCAGAGUGACACAGUCUCCUGCAGUUGAGGAUCAUUGAUCUAGAGCAUUGAUUACAACGGAAGGCGUCUAAAGGAUGAGGCAAAAGUGAAAGCCAGAUUAUGGUUGUAUGUUUUUCCUGUAAGCCACCACAAACCUUUUGUGCAAUGAGAUAGGUGAUGAAUAAAGCAUGGAUGAAUCCACGCAUUAGAUGAGUAUGUGAAGUGGAUAUGGAGAGCACAUAAGAACCAAGAGCAGACAGAGCCCUAAGGAAAGACCUGGCUGACCUGCCGGAAGGAAAAUAGGUAUUAGGAAUCCUGAAAACCAUACUUCAGAGGAUUAUGUAUCAAGAAAGUUGGGGUCUAGGUGAGAGUCUUGUGAUUUGGUUGAAUUAAAAUUAAUGCAGCACUUCCAGCCCUGCAGUCAUUCAGGAGUCCCCAACUUACUACCAGUGGGAGCCAGGUUGAGAACACACAGACCUCCCAGCCAGCUGUCUCUGUAUCUACAGAGUUGAACUGGACUUAGUUUUUGUAUGAUAUCUCUUGAAUGAACAAACUUGGAUAUUAUGGGGAAAAACUAUGUUUUGAUUUUAUAAAUGUUGUUAUUGAUAGGUGACAGGGAGGUAAUAACUGCUUAUUAGCAUUUAAUGUGUCUGAUCAUUCAAUUAAUCUUGUAGAAAUUACUCUUAGACUUUCAACAACAUGUAACUAUAAGCACAUAUCAUUUGUUUCAAUUUAAUACAGUGGCUGAAAAGGAUAUCUAAGAAUUGUUUGUACCUCUGGGCAUAUCUUAGUGAGAGACUUCUCAUAGCAUUUGUUUAAACCUUAUGAAAACUGUAUUUAGUCAUGGACUGACAUGAAUUGUUCAUUGGAUUCAUUAGGGAUUAUAUCUAAGAUAAGAUUUAUUGCAUUUAUAAUAAAAUGUGUGAAUGAAGAAAUAAAA
This is a long non-coding RNA of Homo sapiens (human), 1302 nucleotides long. NCBI's taxonomy places the organism in Eukaryota, Metazoa, Chordata, Mammalia, Primates, Hominidae. The record is from Ensembl.